This 253-nucleotide long non-coding RNA is filed under the name Phoenix dactylifera (date palm). RNAcentral describes it as "long non-coding RNA (PDAC_LNC010319)". Lineage: Eukaryota; Viridiplantae; Streptophyta; Magnoliopsida; Arecales; Arecaceae. The record is from RNAcentral.
AAACAGUGCCCUAGAUAGCUCACGGGUCCCCCUUUUAACAGUGGGGUCCCGACGUUGGGUCGACUCAAGAAUUUUCUUGGGUCGACUCAACGUUGGGUCGACCCUAUUCUGGGUUGGGUCGACCCAAGUUCAGAAAUUUUUCCUUUCUCUUCCUUUUCCCUUCUAAUCCUUUCUUCCAAUCCUUACAAAUUCUUUCUGGGACAAUGAUACAUGAGUAAGGAAUCUAUAGAUGAUAAGUUUGACUCAUGUUUCA